Molecule: ribosomal RNA, 398 nt
Filed under: uncultured Methylobacterium sp.
Lineage: Bacteria; Pseudomonadati; Pseudomonadota; Alphaproteobacteria; Hyphomicrobiales; Methylobacteriaceae
Description: bacterial SSU rRNA
Rfam family: Bacterial small subunit ribosomal RNA
Source: RNAcentral
AACGCGAAGAACCUUACCAGCCUUUGACAUGGCAGGCCUGGCCGAGAGAUCGGUCGUUUCCUUCGGGAACCUGCACACAGGUGCUGCAUGGCUGUCGUCAGCUCGUGUCGUGAGAUGUUGGGUUAAGUCCCGCAACGAGCGCAACCCACGUCCUCAGUUGCCAUCAUUCAGUUGGGCACUCUGGGGAGACUGCCGGUGAUAAGCCGCGAGGAAGGUGUGGAUGACGUCAAGUCCUCAUGGCCCUUACGGGCUGGGCUACACACGUGCUACAAUGGCGGUGACAGAGGGACGCUAGACCGCGAGGUCGUGCCAAUCUCUAAAAUCCGUCUCAGUUCGGAUUGCACUCUGCAACUCGAGUGCAUGAAGUGGAAUCGCUAGUAAUCGCCGAUCAGCCCCCC